This 1114-nucleotide long non-coding RNA is filed under the name Salmo salar (Atlantic salmon). RNAcentral's name for it is "lncRNA (ENSSSAG00000122106.1, ENSSSAG00020069643.1, ENSSSAG00075039194.1)". The record is from RNAcentral. Lineage: Eukaryota; Metazoa; Chordata; Actinopteri; Salmoniformes; Salmonidae.
GUAGACCCAUUGUAGCAGCGAUCGAAUCUGAUAUCCAACAUUUCUAAGUUUGUGGAUUACCACAUUAAACCGAUGGUUGCGAAUCUCCCAUCUUAUGUCAAAGACACCAGUCACAUUGAUAAAGGGCUUAGGAAGGAUACCAGAGGGCACCCUGCUGGCCACUUUUGAUGUGGAGAGCUUGUUCACUAACAUCCCACACACUGGAGGCUUGCAGGCUCUGCUACACUUCCUUCAGCAGAGAGACUAUACCCUUGCUCCAUCCAAUGAUUGCAUCUUACAACUUACUGAACUGGUAUUAUCCAAUAACUACUUCAUCUUUGAGUCAGACUUUUUCAUUCGAAUUCGGGGUGCCAUGGGCUCCCCCUUUCCCCCCAACUAUGCAAACCUGUAUGUGGGACAAUUUGAGGAAGCACUCCUUUACAAAACAGAGACACACGUCCUACUUUCUAAAAUUCUCCUAUGGAAGAGAUACAAAAACUCAGCAAAAAAAGAAACGUCCUCUCACUGUCAACAGCGUUUAUUUUCAGGAAACUUAAAUAAAUGUAAAUAUUUCUAUGAACAUAACAAGAAUCAACAACUGAGACAUAAACUGAACAAGUUCCACAUACAUGUGACAAAAAGAAAUGGAGUAAUGUGUCCCUGAACAAAGGGGGGGUCAAAAUCAAAAGUAACAGUCAGUAUCUGGUGUGGCCUCCAGCUGCAUAAAGUACUGCAGUGCAUCUCCCCCUCAUGGACUGCACCAGAUUUGCCAGUUCUUGCUGUGAGACGCUACCCCACUCUUCCACCAAGGCACCUGCAAGUUCCUGGACAUUUCUGCGGGGAAUGGCCCUAUGUCACGUCCUGACCAAAGCAUUGAGCAUGUUGCUCUACCAAGGAGAGGAGGUAGCGUCGAGAUCCUACUACUACAAAGGGAGGCUUACUGGAUAUCCUAUCUAAAAACAUUGACCCCUAGGGGUCUGAAUAUUGACUUUGAUCUCAGGCCCUUCUUAUGAACAAUUCUUUAUUUUAUGAACAAGUCUUAUAAAUUGAUAUAUUCUUUCUACAUAGCGUACAUCUAAUAUGUUCCCCCUGUUGAUGAUGCUUAUUAUGCCUUACGGUUGAACCAAAAGAUUAC